Molecule: long non-coding RNA, 1896 nt
Organism: Armigeres subalbatus
Lineage: Eukaryota; Metazoa; Arthropoda; Insecta; Diptera; Culicidae
Exons: 3
Source: RefSeq, a predicted model, not a curated record
UUUUAUAGCAAGAUAUUCACUUUCACUCGGGCAACCGAAUGAACUUGAAUGUACUGUAGUAGUCAUACAGGCGUUGUAAAAUUAUUAGAAAAUACUACCUCAGAUCACAAAACUCGAGCUUGGGACCAAUAUAUUGAGGACCGCGACGAAUAUGUGGAGAAAGAACUAAAAAUUAAAAACGAGACAGACAAUCAGACGAGGGUUUGAGAGCUUGUUGGAGGAAUAAGGACAGCCUAUGGUAGAAGUAAGAAAGUGAUUAACUUCCACCAACGAUCUCACGAAUAUUAUUAAAUUAUCUUGGUCAAAUGGACCAUUUCAGUCUCCUCUUUUUAAUCACUCGUCCACUUCUAGCGAUCACUUAAAACCGAUCAGUUGUGUUCUUAGCUAUCGGAAAGUGUUAAUAGAAAACCACGCUACAAAAGACAGUUGUCAUUGAAGGUUAAGUUCUCCCCAGUUGGUGUAAUAAAACCAAAGAGUUUUAUUUUAAUAACAAUUCUGACCAAACGAAUAGUUUUGUGAUAUCAGUCAGAUUCCUCAUCGAAUGUGCUAUACACGAUUACCAGAACCUAUAAGAAGAAUUUAGCUGUGAACAAAGAAGUAACAAGAAAGCCACACCACGUGGCUUUCUUUGCUUGGAUCUCUAUCCCCAGGGAUCACAAUCUCCUCUGCCGGACACGUGCGUCCCAAUCAACCGAAUCGACAUCUGGAAUUUGCACUUCUCGUUUCUUGCCGCGGGGCGAAGAAUUUCGUUUCAACCAGAACCGCAGAGCCCACCAGCGAGCGAAAACCUGUGACCGUUACGAAAAACCUCACUAGGUCGUGGGAAUCCGAUAUCUUCGGACACGGUAACCCCCACUACACGAAAGCGACGCGUCGUGGUCGCAACGAACGGUUCAGACCCUACUUUCAUCGUCUUCCGUAUCAGGGCUCAAGCGAAGCGAGAAGAUCUUCCACUACGAUCACAUCAGUUUGUCGGAUUGAGACACGAACGUCUCGAGGUGCAGGUGCACCGAUAUCGAACGCGCUCAGCGGAGCUAUUUUGUAUGAAUCUGCAGAUCGAGUGGUGCUAAAUCCGCUCGCACUAGGAGACCAGCAUCGUCAAAGGAUCAACAACGGCCGCAACGUCAUUAGGUACCUUAGUAUAAGCCACAGUCACACCCAUAGGUAGAUAGGUUAGGGAGGAAUUCGUUGUAUGGGUACGAAAAGCUCCAAUAAAAUCAUGAAAGUUCAACCUAUUACUCUCAGUGAAAGCUAGUUGUGUUAUGAGUAUCUAUCUUGAGGAGAAUGAUUUUCAAUUUCCAGUCCGUCGCGAUUAUUGAGAGAGUCUUCGUCGGUUCAGAGAUCAGUUGGUCUGAGUAAAACGAGUACGCUUGUUACAGUGGGUUGAAUUUGGGAAUCUGAUAGGCUUGAGAACCUGCCCUGAGUGUCUCUCUCGGGUUAACCGGGCUCGUAAAAACAGUGCUGACAUCCUUGUUAAUCGCAAGGUUGGCGCAUAAGUCAGUGCCGGAAAAAGGCUCUAUUUGGAAACCCCCUCGUUUACAAAGGUUUGAUCGGUGCCUUGUAGUUCCCGAAGUUAGUGUUCUAAGAUGCUUCCAAUGUGGAGAAUUUGGGCACAUGAGUACGGAAUGCAAGAAUAGUAUUGCGUGUUCUAAGUGCAGUGAAGGUCACAAAACAUCUGAUUGCACGUCAACUGCUUUGAAAUGUAUCAAUUGUUUGAAAAUGAAUAAAGAACGUAAAAUGAAUCUGGACGUAAACCACGGAGCAUUUAGUACUGAGUGUAAAGUUUAUAAAAGGUUAUUUGAUCGUAAAAAGAGCAGCUUACGUUUCAAUGAAUAGCAACCAAGUUCCAGUAGAAAUGUGAAUAAUUUAGAUAUUUUGUAUUUGAAUAUUGCUGGU